UUUCCGUAGGUGAACCUGCGGAAGGAUCAUUACAGAGUUCAUGCCCUCACGGGUAGAGCUCCCACCCUUGAAUAUUUAUACCUUAGUUGCUUUGGCAGGCCGUCGAAACACCAUGGGCUCCGGCUUAUGCGUGCCUGCCAGAGGAAACAAAUUCUGUUUUUAGUGAUGUCUGAGUACUAUAUAAUAGUUAAAACUUUCAACAACGGAUCUCUUGGUUCUG
This 220-nucleotide unclassified non-coding RNA is filed under the name plant metagenome. RNAcentral's name for it is "partial contains small subunit ribosomal RNA, internal transcribed spacer 1, and 5.8S ribosomal RNA". The record is from RNAcentral.